RNAcentral lists this ribosomal RNA (120 nucleotides) under uncultured bacterium. Its description in RNAcentral is "partial 16S ribosomal RNA". It matches the Rfam family "Bacterial small subunit ribosomal RNA", at positions 28 to 156 of the family's 1533-position model. The record is from RNAcentral.
GAUGAACGCUGGCGGCGUGCUUAACACAUGCAAGUCAAGGGGGCUCAGCAAUGGGCAACCGGCGAACGGGUGCGUAACACGUGAGCAACCUACCUAGGUGUGGGGGAUAGCCGGCCCAAC